This is a long non-coding RNA of Sardina pilchardus (European sardine), 767 nucleotides long. RefSeq lists it as uncharacterized. The record is from RefSeq and is a predicted model, not a curated record. The transcript has 3 exons. Lineage: Eukaryota; Metazoa; Chordata; Actinopteri; Clupeiformes; Clupeidae.
CACACAAUGAAUAGCUCUUAUAUUACCAUCUAGAAAAAUACCUUCAGUUCAUUUUUUUUAUUAUUAUUAUUUUCCCAAUCCAUUCAGUCAAUGGUUCUGCAGAUCCCUUUUGCACCUUCUCACUUUGUGGUGCUUAAGACCAAACCACAUGGUAUAUUAAAGGCACAUGCUGGCACUAUGAAGUGCCAGACGUGCAGCAUAAACAACACUCAAUGUGGCCAUGUGCGAGUCCUGCAGGACUGUUUGAAAGCAACAGGUGCUGAGGGGAGUGCCGUGAGAGCAGCUCUGAACGGAGGAGCGCCUUAUCAGGAUGUCCGGAAGCUGGCUGUGUCCUCAAAGCCCAUCCCAUUUGACAUCCCCAGUGAUAAGAGGAUGCACUACAGCAAUUCUUUUGCUUUGCUGGAGAGGAACUCCGAGGAUGUGAUACUCCUCCAUAAAAAUGUUGGGAGGUGUGAUUGUGGCCAUGCCAUGUCUGCCACCCCAAAAGAUAUAUAUAUUUACACUCAGGCCAUGGUGGCAAAAGCGAUAAUUCAUCAACAAGCAUGUGAAUUACGUGGGGUCCAACGGCCCUUUGAUGGGGGAGAGGAGUUCCUCCUGAACAUGGGAACAUAUGUAGUCCACCAUGGGAUACUAAGGGACUACAUGUACCAUUUUUUAAAUUCAAGGCUAGUAUCACAUUAUACACAAUCAGUAUCUGGACAUGCCGACCAGCAAUGUUCAAAGCACUUACGGUACACCUCUCUUUCAUCUCCAGCUCAACGAUGUAU